Molecule: ribosomal RNA, 117 nt
Filed under: Escherichia coli
Lineage: Bacteria; Pseudomonadati; Pseudomonadota; Gammaproteobacteria; Enterobacterales; Enterobacteriaceae
Source: RNAcentral
UCUGGCGGCAGUAGCGCGGUGGUCCCACCUGACCCCAUGCCGAACUCAGAAGUGAAACGCCGUAGCGCCGAUGGUAGUGUGGGGUCUCCCCAUGCGAGAGUAGGGGCGCCGAUGGUA